Long non-coding RNA from Rana temporaria (common frog), 592 nucleotides. RefSeq lists it as uncharacterized. The record is from RefSeq and is a predicted model, not a curated record. The transcript is spliced from 3 exons. NCBI's taxonomy places the organism in Eukaryota, Metazoa, Chordata, Amphibia, Anura, Ranidae.
ACCUAUAAACAGACAGUUGCCUUACUAUGACCUUAGUCACAGGCACUGUUUUCAUUUAUCUAAUUAUAGGAUAAUUUAUUGAUAUAUAUAUAUAUACUUACCUUUUACCUAUAGAAUUUUUUGGAAACCUAUUGGGAACCCCGUUGGACCCCACUGGCAGCAUUAAGUCUAACUUUGCUACUAUUGAGGAAAGAUAUAGAUACAACGAUUUGUUAUCUGUAUCUCUUCCUCUUGCUUGUGGUGAACUCCUCACAAACAUUUCAUUGUCCGCACCUGCCAAAAUCAAGUGGAUCUGGCUUCCACUGAUUACAAGUGGAGUAGCUAAUCUCCUGACUGCAUCAAGUGCUCCUUCGCUGACUCUCAGGCAGGUUUCUCUGCCCGGUUCUUAGAGCUUUUUAACGGAAGUGACCACUACAUGUGUAAAAAAGGAACAGGAAUAUUAUGCAAGCCCUGACGAAGCACAUCUAGUGCGAAACUAGUUGGCAAACUCGCAUCAACUUUCCUUUAAAUAACCUGUCUCCCCUUUAAUUUGUUUAUCAUGAAAAUGUGGUUUUGAUCAUAUAUGUCUCAUUAUGUUAAUAACUGUAUGAAA